GUUGCAUUGGUGUGAAGAUUGGCUUCUAGGAAUUGGUCUGUAAGCCCAGCUCUGUGAACAAGUGUAUCAUGUCCUUGGUGGCUUGACAAGCCUCCAGAAGCAACUGGACUCUGAGGAGACAAUCGUCCAGCACAGACUAUGCGGGAUGUGCAGCAUUGCUGGCCUGUGUCGUCACACACUCCUGUGUUCCGUUGCAUGCGCAAGCCCGCUUUGCUUAACAAAGCUGCAGUGAGCUGGAGUUGAACCAUGCAAGCUGUGAAUUCCUUGGCGCAAGGAGACCCUCUGCUCCGAAAGGGGCCGAUUCUGCCACAUUUUCUCUGGCUGAGUAGCACCCGACUGCGCAAACAGUUCCCUGGAAGCCAAAGGGGCCGCUCGUGGAGUAAACCGUUACUCAAGUAAGGGUAUCUGAGUCUGGCCAAAGGUGGCAGAAUCGAGCCCAAAGUAAGCUCCUUCCAAGGACCUGUGUCAAUCAGCUAUUCACAUCACCUCAUUGUGUUCUUUUUCUGCCCUAUCUUUAAAUAUUCCAGAUCAGCUGAUUUUGCUACAAGAAAGCUGCCCACCCUGUGAUGUGCUGAACACCCUCAAAUUUCCAUGGCAAACAUGGGAGCUGGGUCUGCUUGGCACCUUGCUGGAGUGGGCCCUGACUGUGGGAGUAUUGCCACUGCAAGCAAACUGGGGAGCAAAAUGACUAA
Long non-coding RNA from Mauremys mutica (yellowpond turtle), 692 nucleotides. RefSeq lists it as uncharacterized. The record is from RefSeq and is a predicted model, not a curated record. The transcript is spliced from 3 exons. Lineage: Eukaryota; Metazoa; Chordata; Testudines; Geoemydidae.